AAACAGGUGCUAAUACCGCAUAACCAUAGUUACCGCAUGGUAACUAUGUAAAAGGUGGCUAUGCUACCGCUUUUGGAUGGGCCCGCGACGCAUUAGCUAGUUGGUGGGGUAAAGGCUUACCAAGGCAAUGAUGCGUAGCCGAACUGAGAGGUUGAUCGGCCACAUUGGGACUGAGACACGGCCCAAACUCCUACGGGAGGCAGCAGUAGGGAAUCUUCCACAAUGGGCGAAAGCCUGAUGGAGCAACGCCGCGUGGGUGAAGAAGGUCUUCGGAUCGUAAAACCCUGUUGUUAGAGAAGAAAGUGCGUGAGAGUAACUGUUCACGUUUCGACGGUAUCUAACCAGAAAGCCACGGCUAACUACGUGCCAGCAGCCGCGGUAAUACGUAGGUGGCAAGCGUUAUCCGGAUUUAUUGGGCGUAAAGAGAACGCAGGCGGUCUUUUAAGUCUGAUGUGAAAGCCUUCGGCUUAACCGGAGUAGUGCAUUGGAAACUGGGAGACUUGAGUGCAGAAGAGGAGAGUGGAACUCCAUGUGUAGCGGUGAAAUGCGUAGAUAUAUGGAAGAACACCAGUGGCGAAAGCGGCUCUCUGGUCUGUAACUGACGCUGAGGUUCGAAAGCGUGGGUAGCAAACAGGAUUAGAUACCCUGGUAGUCCACGCCGUAAACGAUGAAUGAUAAGUGUUGGAG
RNAcentral lists this ribosomal RNA (687 nucleotides) under uncultured bacterium. RNAcentral's name for it is "bacterial SSU rRNA". It matches the Rfam family "Bacterial small subunit ribosomal RNA", at positions 154 to 828 of the family's 1533-position model. The record is from RNAcentral.